This is a long non-coding RNA of Thalassophryne amazonica, 226 nucleotides long. RefSeq lists it as uncharacterized. The record is from RefSeq and is a predicted model, not a curated record. NCBI's taxonomy places the organism in Eukaryota, Metazoa, Chordata, Actinopteri, Batrachoidiformes, Batrachoididae. The transcript has 3 exons.
AUUAGAUCAAUCAUUUCCAUCUCACCCUGUCCUCUGCAUCUUUCUUUGUCACACCAACCUCCUGCAUGUCCUUCCGCGGUACAUCCAUAAACCUUGUCUUUGGCCUCCCUGUUCUGCUGCUGCCUGGUGGCUCCAUCCUCAGUAUCCUUCUUCCUAUAUACCAUGGGUCCCUCCUCUGCACAUGUCCAAAUUAUUUCAAUCUCACCUCUCUGACUUUGUCUCCAUA